Molecule: non-coding RNA, 870 nt
Filed under: Pan troglodytes (chimpanzee)
Lineage: Eukaryota; Metazoa; Chordata; Mammalia; Primates; Hominidae
Source: RNAcentral
GAACACAAAAUGGCGACACGUGGUUAGCAUUCGUCGCCAACGAGAAAUUGGGGUCGGCCCGAAAGCUCUAGAAUGCACCCCCCUUCUUCCCCGGGGCCUUCCACCUCCGCGAGUUUUAUGACUUAAAAAACCCCACAGGCUGGUCUGAAGAGGAAGACAAACAUAAAGAUGAAGUGCUUAAUUCAAGGUCACACAAUGUCGGGGAUGGACCUCCAGAUUUCCUUACUGGUGAGACGUGGUCUUGUAACACAGUGGUUAAGAAUGUGACUUUGGAGCCAGCCUGCUAGGGGCUGAAUUCUGACUCAGCCAUUUACUAACUGUGUGACCUUAGGUGGAGUCUCACUCUGUAGCCCAAGCUGGAGUGGUGUGAUCUCGACUCACUGCAACCUCCGCCUCCUGGGCUCAAGUGAUUCUCGUGCCUCAGCCUCCUGAGUAGCUGGGACUACAGGUCACAGAAUUUUCCACACUCCUUGACGGAGGUGCUUAACCCUUAUCCAUCAGCAUUCUCAGACAGCACCUCCGGUUAGGGACAGUAUCUGACCGUCCGACAUCCCUGCAGCCCCCAUGUGUCACACAGACUCAGCCUCAGGUAGAUGGUUUCCGUAGAUGGUGGCUUUCUUUGGACCCUUGACAUCAACCAGUUACUAUUUGGGGACCAGAUGUGCAGAGGUAAUGAAUACCAGGGAAUCAGGAAACCACUGGAUCAGUUCUUUGAGCCACAGAACAACACUCAUCCCAGCAGCUGGGAAGCUAUCUGCAAAAGUCCAUCUGCAGAAAGGGCUUCCUGGUCUUGCGUGUGGCUGGGCCAUUUCUCUGGAUGCAGGUUUUUCAUUAUACAGUCUUCUCAAAGAAACACCUGCUCUCAACACC